ACGCUAGCUACAGGCUUAACACAUGCAAGUCGAGGGGAAACGACAUCGAAAGCUUGCUUUUGAUGGGCGUCGACCGGCGCACGGGUGAGUAACGCGUAUCCAACCUGCCCAUCACUUGGGGAUAACCUUGCGAAAGUAAGACUAAUACCCAAUGAUAUCUCUAGAAGACAUCUGAAAGAGAUUAAAGAUUUAUCGGUGAUGGAUGGGGAUGCGUCUGAUUAGCUUGUUGGCGGGGUAACGGCCCACCAAGGCGACGAUCAGUAGGGGUUCUGAGAGGAAGGUCCCCCACAUUGGAACUGAGACACGGUCCAAACUCCUACGGGAGGCAGCAGUGAGGAAUAUUGGUCAAUGGGCGAGAGCCUGAACCAGCCAAGUAGCGUGCAGGAUGACGGCCCUAUGGGUUGUAAACUGCUUUUAUAAGGGAAUAAAGUGAGUCUCGUGAGACUUUUUGCAUGUACCUUAUGAAUAAGGACCGGCUAAUUCCGUGCCAGCAGCCGCGGUAAUACGGAAGGUCCGGGCGUUAUCCGGAUUUAUUGGGUUUAAAGGGAGCGUAGGCCGGAGAUUAAGCGUGUUGUGAAAUGUAGACGCUCAACGUCUGCACUGCAGCGCGAACUGGUUUCCUUGAGUACGCACAAAGUGGGCGGAAUUCGUGGUGUAGCGGUGAAAUGCUUAGAUAUCACGAAGAACUCCGAUUGCGAAGGCAGCUCACUGGAGCGCAACUGACGCUGAAGCUCGAAAGUGCGGGUAUCGAACAGGAUUAGAUACCCUGGUAGUCCGCACGGUAAACGAUGGAUGCCCGCUGUUGGUCUGAAUAGGUCAGCGGCCAAGCGAAAGCAUUAAGCAUCCCACCUGGGGAGUACGCCGGCAACGGUGAAACUCAAAGGAAUUGACGGA
Molecule: ribosomal RNA, 894 nt
Filed under: uncultured bacterium
Lineage: Bacteria
Description: bacterial SSU rRNA
Rfam family: Bacterial small subunit ribosomal RNA
Source: RNAcentral